UCUCGCUCUUAUCUUUAGCCCCGUCCUUGAGCGCGAUAAAAAGCGAAGCAAGUCAAGAAAGGUUUCAGACAGAUGGGUUCGAGAGGGGCGAAUUUGGUGCUAUCGAGGGCCAAUAGAAUGAGGGCGAAGUUGCAAUCGGCACUGGAAGCGACGGCUUUGGAGAUCGACGACGUGUCGUACCAGCACGCCGGCCAUGCCGCUGUCAGGGGCACUGCGGAUAGCGAGACUCACUUCAACGUUAAGAUCGUGUCACCGAAGUUCAACGGGCAGAGCCUGGUGAAAAGGCAUCGUCUUGUCUAUGAUGCGUUAGCCGAUGAACUUCAAUCUGGACUACACGCGGUCUCCAUUGUGGCCAAGACACCCCAGGAAGCCGCCGCCGCCAAAUAAAGCUCCGUUGAAAGAGUUCUGAAGGCUAUAAAACUGAUUUCGAUGCAGAUGAAGCUGAGGGUGAGCUUGAGGAUUCGCCUCCGCCUGAUGAGUGAUAUGGGAUCACUCGUAAUUGUAUUGGACUUGUAUUAUAUUUUAUUUUUGGAUAACUGUAUAACUCUUUUUUAAUGAUUUUACUUAUGUUAAUUUGUAUUAAAAAUCCUGGUACUUAGUUGACUUACUUAAAUUA
RNA transcript from Juglans regia (Persian walnut), 616 nucleotides. RefSeq lists it as uncharacterized. NCBI's taxonomy places the organism in Eukaryota, Viridiplantae, Streptophyta, Magnoliopsida, Fagales, Juglandaceae. The transcript is spliced from 2 exons. The record is from RefSeq and is a predicted model, not a curated record.